AUUGAACGCUGGCGGAAUGCUUUACACAUGCAAGUCGAACGGCAGCACGGACUUCGGUCUGGUGGCGAGUGGCGAACGGGUGAGUAAUACAUCGGAACGUGCCCAGUCGUGGGGGAUAACGUAGCGAAAGCUACGCUAAUACCGCAUACGAUCUAAGGAUGAAAGCGGGGGGUCGCAAGACCUCGCGCGAUUGGAGCGGCCGAUGGCAGAUUAGGUAGUGGGUAGGGUAAAGGCCUACAAAGCCGACGAUCUGUAGCGGGUCUGAGAGGACGACCAGCCAAACGGGGACGGAGACACGGCCCAGACUCCUACGGGAGGCAGCAGGGGGGAAUUUUGGACAAUGGACGAAAGUCUGAUCCAGCCAUUCCGCGUGCAGGAUGAAGGCCCUCGGGUUGUAAACUGCUUUUGUACAGAACAAAAAGGCUCUGUUUAAUACCUGGAGCUCAUGACGGUACUGUAAGAAUAAGCACCGGCUAACUACGUGCCAGCAGCCGCCGUAA
Molecule: ribosomal RNA, 500 nt
Filed under: uncultured bacterium
Lineage: Bacteria
Description: partial 16S ribosomal RNA
Rfam family: Bacterial small subunit ribosomal RNA
Source: RNAcentral